UAGUUUAAAAAAUCUUUUUAUUUAUUUAUUUUAGAUGAUUUUAUUAAUCUUGUUAAUUUCAAAAAAGAUUUUUUUUUUUUUUUAAUUUCAUGAUAAUCCUCUCUAAAUUAAAAAAAAAAAGACAAUUUUUUGACCCACAGUAUGGAGAUUUCGAUCUGGUGCAGGGGACAUCUUCUUCAUGAUCUAGGGGUAGGAGUCCAAUGUAGCCCGCGCUAAGCAGGGAGAGUUACUCUUUGGUUCCAUUUGUCCACAUUCUUCCCUUCCAUCUAGAAAAAUUCGAGCUUGAUUGUUCUGUGUAGUCGAUUCGCUCAGUACCCUCCAUAAACAGAGUCCAUGAGCUCGGGAAGAGAAGUAGAGCCCUCAAUCAAUCAAGGGAGGUCCAACCCUUUCUGAUCAUUCAUCAUUCAAUUCGUUGUGUUACAUUCGAGCGGAUCUGUCAAGUUCCAGCCACCUAACCAAUCUUGUUGAUCUUGACCUACAGAAAGCUGUGAAUGAGGGAGAAGAGCCCGUUGUGUCCUCUUAGCUUGGCCAAUGCAUUAUGCAAUUAUUGACUUCUGAAUCUGGGGAGUUGAGUUUACAAAUUCACAAGUGUACUGAGAGAAAGGUUGAGAUUGAUGCUUUGUUACACAUCAUGUGGUUAUCUGCUAUUGGAGUAGAAGUUGCUUCGACAUCUGGUGGAAAGGCUGAAAUUUCUAAUGGUUUGAACCGAUUGUAUUUUUGUGUUAAUUGUUUUUUAAGUCAAACAAAGGCAGAGAUUCAUGUGUUUGUUUGUUUUUUUUUUUCUUUGUGUCUCUGUUUAUGUUUGGAUUGGUUAUUUCUGACUCUACUUUGCUUUGGGUUGAUACUGAUACUGAAGGUGAUGUCUUUAUUUUUGGUUGUUUUCCGUGUUUCUGCUAUCGUAUGGUGGUUGUUCUGUU
This is a non-coding RNA of Benincasa hispida (wax gourd), 917 nucleotides long. Lineage: Eukaryota; Viridiplantae; Streptophyta; Magnoliopsida; Cucurbitales; Cucurbitaceae. The record is from RefSeq and is a predicted model, not a curated record.